Regulatory RNA element from Bacteroides pectinophilus CAG:437, 110 nucleotides. It matches the Rfam family "S10-Clostridia ribosomal protein leader". NCBI's taxonomy places the organism in Bacteria, Bacillati, Bacillota, Clostridia, Eubacteriales. The record is from Rfam.
UGAUAGCAAUGAAACGAGAAGUUGCUGCGAAGCGAAAGCUAAGCAGGUUAUUCCGUGGAGCGAAUGUCAAAAACCGAUACAACCCAUCGGUUUCAACAAAAUGGCGACAA